UAAAUGAAAGCCAAAAAGAGGUGCCUAACUGUUAAUUAGGAGAUUGUAAGAGUGAAUUUUACUCAUUUAG
Molecule: transfer RNA, 70 nt
Filed under: Hemifusus tuba
Lineage: Eukaryota; Metazoa; Mollusca; Gastropoda; Neogastropoda; Melongenidae
Description: tRNA-Asn
Source: RNAcentral